This 3084-nucleotide ribosomal RNA is filed under the name Triticum aestivum (bread wheat). Its description in RNAcentral is "partial small subunit ribosomal RNA". The record is from RNAcentral. Lineage: Eukaryota; Viridiplantae; Streptophyta; Magnoliopsida; Poales; Poaceae.
AUGGGCGACGCCGGUUCGAGCGUGAGGGGCGACGCCGCCUCGGGGAACGACACCGAUGAGCGGUGGUUGGUGCUCUAUGCGGCUGACUUGGCGACCGCACGACGGAUCUCCCUCGCCGAUGGGGUGAUCUGGCUCAGGAAGGACGCGCUCCAGCUCGUGCUUCUCGACAAGCAAGGCGUCACGAUUCGAUCGACAUUGGCGGGUUUGUCUCCUUCCCAUGCCACUUCGCUAGGGGACCAUGAGGAAAUCAGGCAAAAAGAACAACAAGAUACAUCAGGCUGGCUGGUCCUUGUGGUUACUACUGUGGGGCAUGCUCCUGUUGAGCAUGACACUACAGGGCAAAACAUGCAGGUGACUAAGCUUCCUGUUAUUCAGUCCCUUUUAUCCUAUGCAGAGGUAGUAAUGAAAUCCUCUCAGGUCAUGGAGCUGGAAGGUGAGGUGGAUCCUGAUAUGAAGAUCUCGAAGGACUAUGUAGUACAACUCCCUCCCUCUGACUGCGAUGAUGAUAUGAUCCUCACUCCUCCAUUAGCUCCUGAAGAUUUGCCCAGACUCAGCAAGCAUAAUGUUCGGGGGAUGCAGGAACAUGUGAUGGCCAAAGCUGAGAGGCUAGCAAUCAAGAAAAACUUGGAAGGUAACUCUCAUGAUGCUCGUAAAAAUUCUUUUGCCAUUCUGCCUGAUACUAAAUUAAUUAGUAGGGUGUCCUAUAUGGGAGUUACUAUUCCUGAUAAUGACUUUGCCUGUAUUGAUGUGCUGAGAGAGCUUGAGCAAGUUAGAAAGAAUUUAGAAGAGAAAGAGAGCAUAGUUAACUUAGAUCAGUGUUGUGAGGAUGAAAUUUUUGUGACUAAUGGGAUGGGUAAGAUGGCUCCUGUGAACCUCACUUGGCUGGACCAGGAUGAGGUCAUCCAUGAUAAGGUGGCCUCUGGUAAACCCAAAAAGAAAACACCUAAGAAACCUACUGUCAAGCUUUCUAGAACUGUGACUAGAAGCCAGAAAAAAGGUUCAGAUACAGGUGUGGGGUGGGGCUCGGACAAGUUUGGCCACAAUAAAAGGAUGAAAGAGGAACUUAGGCUGGAGUUAGCCAUGCUGGAAGAACUAGAGGAGGAUGGGCCCCUUACUCCGGAGCUGUAUAGUAGGAAAAUUAAUGUAUGCUUUGAGCUCCAUGAGAUCUUGGUCAAUGAAGAGAUAUACUGGCUUCAACAGUCACAUGAGCGAUGGUUGCUUAAAGAUGAUCCACCUGACCCACUUGAUCAUUUCGGAGUGAGAAUGCAUUAUUAUGGACUAUUUGACAAGAUUAGUGGGAAGCUUGAUUACACAGGAGAACAAGAGGCACACUUAUACAUUCCAAGGGACAAGCUUUCUUAUGCUGAACUGUGUGCUUAUGCAGAGGAUAUGUAUCAAGUAGAAAGGGGCCAUUUGAGAGGAAAUUUCACAUACAAGCUCUACUGGUUAGUUGGGAAAAGCUUUAAUGAUGGCCUUUUGUUUCUCCAUGAUGAUGCUUCAGUUCAGAGGAUGGAUAUUGGCAUCCUGAAUGUGGAACUUGCAGAUAUUUAUGUUGAGGAGAGAGAAGUACAACAAACUGAUGACAUGCCUGAUGUGCAAAUAUCUGAUGACGUCGAGAGAGAAUUAGAGCAAACUGAACAUUGUACUGAAUCUUCUGGUUUGGUGCCUGUCUGUGUUGGAGAAGCAUAUUCUAGGAAUAGAGAGAGCAAACUACCUUUGAUAAGUGUGCAGGUUGUUGAAACAGAGCAAGUGGAUGAGCUGAUCUUGUCGCAUAUGAUUGCUGCUGCUGAAGAAGAUGUUAUGAGAAGUGAAGCACUGUUUCCCGCUGACACCAAUGCAAUAGGAGCACAAGGAGAUGCAGUAGAACCACCCGAGAGGGUUAAUACACAAAGAAGAGCUCCGGUGGAAAAUGCAGAUGAGGAGUGUGAGGUUGAGAGUGACCUAGACUAUGAACCUGGCUUCGAGUGCAGCUCUGCUGAAGAAUCAGAAGCAGAGCAGGUAAGGAAACUAGCAAGAGAAAUUAGGAGGCAAAAAAGGGAUAAGAAACUAGGGAAGGGAGUUGGUCCUAUCGUGAAAGAUGACAAUGUUAUUGAAGGUGCAUCUGGUGAUGAAGAUUUGGAUGGAGGGCAUGAUCUGGAUGAAUUUGAAUCGGAUGAUGAUUGCUCAUAUGAUGAGGGUGCAUGUUAUGGUCAACUGCUUUGUGCUCUGGGUAGAGAUGCGAAUAAUCAAAUGUACCCCAUAGCAUGGGCCAUAGUGGAGAAGGAGACUUACCAGUCUUGGUUUUGGUUUCUUGCGAAGCUCAAUAAAGAUUUGAAGAUCAACAAUGAGGGUGAUGGCUGGGUGUUUAUGUCCGAUCAGCAGAAGGGGUUGAUUGGUGCUAUAGAGGAUAUCUUCUCAGUUGAGGCUGCAAAUGCGAGGAAGGGUAUGGGAAUUGGACAACCUUCACAACCACAAAUAUCUCAGCCAAGUUCCCAGCCAAGAAAUACCGUAGCCAAAGAAGGGCAUGGCAAGUCAGAAGUACGAGCAAGUCAAAAUGCCAAGAAAUCGAUGGGCAUCUACAGUCAGAUAGCAAAAUUCAUACAAACAUGUCCGGAUAAAUCUCAAUGUUACAACAUAGAAGAAAGAAACCACUACAACAGCAACUUGCUCAAGUCCAUGGCGGCCGCCGCGAAGCAUGGAGGAGGAGAGCACCACCAGGCCACCACGGCGAGGAAGCAGCAGCACGUUGGCUUCCCGAGGCUGUCCACCUCCAGCAAGGCGCUCGUCCCGCUGCCCCACCUGCUCCUCUUCGUGUACCCCAAGGAGUUCGAGUUGCAGUCGCUCAUGAAUUAUCGGAUGUGCACGGGCUGGAGCCGAGCGUGGGUGGGCGAGGAAGGCGAGAGCGGCGAGGACGAGGCGGCGGCGGCGGCGGCGCGGGGCACCGGGUCCGGGAACAACGACACAGUGCUUGGGGCGGACGUGCAGCUGCGCGAGCCGAACUCUAUCCCAUGCCAAGGCGACGCGAGACAAACAGUGGUCCACGACGGGAGCGACGGCUACGACCGCGGCGGCUCUGCGUCCCGUGAUCCCUUAUCUGCAUUAUGA